This 105-nucleotide ribosomal RNA is filed under the name Mola mola (ocean sunfish). Lineage: Eukaryota; Metazoa; Chordata; Actinopteri; Tetraodontiformes; Molidae. The record is from RNAcentral.
CCUCACAGCCAUACCACUGAUCUCGUCCGAUCUUGGAAGCUAAGCAGAUUCGGCCUGGUUAGUACUUGGAUGGGAGAGUGCCUAGAAUACCAGGUGCUGUAAGCU